Molecule: long non-coding RNA, 323 nt
Organism: Phasianus colchicus (ring-necked pheasant)
Lineage: Eukaryota; Metazoa; Chordata; Aves; Galliformes; Phasianidae
Source: RefSeq, a predicted model, not a curated record
GCAAGAAGGCAUUCAGUGCGUCAGCGCCAUGCAGGGCUUCCAGAGGGGCUCCUGGUUACUGGCUGCACUGCUGCAGGCACAGAAGGUUCCCCGGGCUGGGGUCACCUCCAAGCCACCUGAGCACCCUGUCUCUCCUGCUGAGCAAGCCAUCGCAAUGACUGUGAUGUUCACAUGUCUGCUGGGACCUGCAGGCUGGGUCCUGGCCAAUGUGAAGCACUACAAGAGCAGAGCAGACUGAGGAGAAGAACUGAGAUCACAGAACAAGUCUUCACGCAGGGAAGAACCCUCUGAGCAUGUUCAUUAAAACUCACGUUGGCAUGAAA